This is a long non-coding RNA of Carassius auratus (goldfish), 1176 nucleotides long. RefSeq lists it as uncharacterized. The record is from RefSeq and is a predicted model, not a curated record. The transcript is spliced from 3 exons. NCBI's taxonomy places the organism in Eukaryota, Metazoa, Chordata, Actinopteri, Cypriniformes, Cyprinidae.
UGGAGAAGGAAAGAAAGGCAGUGAAUUUGGGGAAAUGGGUGUGGAGCACUGAAGUGAGACAAAGAGGGGCUCGAAUCUCCUUUAUCAUACAUUCAACUAGAAUAAAGCGGAAAAAAACUAUCGCAGAAUUUCCACAUAAACUUCACCCAUGGCACAAAAACUGCUUUCUGGAAAACCUUCCCAGGCCAGUUUCCACCAGUUCUACAGCAUGUUUGUGAAAGUGUUGACAAAAUGUAUAUAUGUAAACUUAUCUAACUCCCCUCACCGCAGUCUCUUGAUAUUUAACACAUGACAGCAGAAGACUGAGAGCUCAGAUCACUGUAAGUUGUGUCUAUAUUCUUUCAGAUUUACUUAUUGUGUUAUUUUCAUGAUGUCGUUGGCUUACAUUUACAUUUUUGUGGUUUGCAGAGUGUAUUUUGCUGAAUAGGGUCUAUAACAUGACAACGAUGAGUGAUAAGACACAUUUAUGGACACCAAUUAUGCAAACGAAGCUUCUGUGUUAUGAAAAAUCUCUAUAUUUCCAUUAUUUCAGUGUUCACCAUCAGACAAGGACAAUGGCAGCCAAACCAUCUCAUGACAUUGUAGGAGCGAUGGCAGGGAUAGUGAUCGGUGGAAGUCUGGCCUUUACAGUCUGUUGUUUUCAACUCUGGUUUUUAUUGGUGGAUCCAAAUCACAAAGUUUGAACAUCUGUGUCCAUUAGGCGCCUGGCCAGUUUUCCUGGUUCUCUUUCUUCUACUGUUUCCGUUUGUAGGAGCAGCUGUAGGGUUUGUCAUUGGAUUGGACGCCGCACACGAAGCUCUUUCGGUGUAUGAUGCCUUGAUCAGGACAAUCGUUUGCAACUUUGAGAUGGCAAUACAUUUGAUUGAGAAUGUUCACCAUGUAAAAGCAGAUAAAUAUGUUAAAUUACGCAGACCAAAUGAAUCAAAAAUAUUUGUACGACCAAAAGUAUCAAAAGUCAUUGAGCUGUAGUCUGUAAUUUACAGUACAAACCUUAUGGUGAUCAACAGGAAAAUAUGAUUCAAUAAUGCGAAUAGAGUUCAUAGAGUUCAAGAAAAUAGUGUCUUUGUUAAUUCAGUUCCGUUGUAAAGAUCAUCAUUUAAUUAUUAUUUUAAUUUGGCUAUAAAGCAGUUCUGGAGAAAACAGUGAUGUCUGAGUUUGAGUUUAUUAGACAUAAAA